GAUGAACGCUGGCGGCGUGCCUAAUACAUGCAAGUCGAGCGAACAGACGAGGAGCUUGCUCCUCUGACGUUAGCGGCGGACGGGUGAGUAACACGUGGAUAACCUACCUAUAAGACUGGGAUAACUUCGGGAAACCGGAGCUAAUACCGGAUAAUAUAUUGAACAGCAUGGUUCAAUAGUGAAAGACGGUUUUGCUGUCACUUAUAGAUGGAUCCGCGCCGCAUUAGCUAGUUGGUAAGGUAACGGCUUACCAAGGCAACGAUGCGUAGCCGACCUGAGAGGGUGAUCGGCCACACUGGAACUGAGACACGGUCCAGACUCCUACGGGAGGCAGCAGUAGGGAAUCUUCCGCGAUGGGCGAAAGCCUGACGGAGCAACGCCGCGUGAGGGAUGAAGGUCUUCGGAUCGUAAAACUCUGUUAUUAGGGAAGAACAAAUGUGUAAGUAACUAUGCACGUCUUGACGGUACCUAAACAGAAAGCCACGGCUAACUACGUG
RNAcentral lists this ribosomal RNA (497 nucleotides) under uncultured bacterium. Its description in RNAcentral is "partial 16S ribosomal RNA". It matches the Rfam family "Bacterial small subunit ribosomal RNA", at positions 28 to 507 of the family's 1533-position model. The record is from RNAcentral.